This 890-nucleotide long non-coding RNA is filed under the name Homo sapiens (human). Its description in RNAcentral is "HSALNT0133289". The record is from RNAcentral. Lineage: Eukaryota; Metazoa; Chordata; Mammalia; Primates; Hominidae.
AAGCAGAAUAGUUUUCCUUUGUUCAUUCUUCAAAAAGCCCUCUACUCUACAGUAAACGCACGUACCACAAAGUAAAGCUAGGAAAACGAGGGUGCAUUCUAGCUGGUGGCUUUAUCUGAUUCAUCCUAAAUUCUAGCUUUGUGUCCCAGGUUUUCAAUUCCUACUUCCAGUUCUCUUUGCUUUCUGCAAAUGUGAUUCACCUCUUAGCUACUUGAAACAGAGCUUGCUUUUUGGCUCAUCGAGUCUUCUCAACCCCGUAGUUUGAGCAUCUCCUUUUAUCCUUAGAGAACCCUGUUAAGCCACUGGCUCCAUCACCCAUGGCUGAACCAGGAGCUAGUGGUCAUGAUGGAAGAGGGAAAGAGGACUGCAAUCAGGAAGAUGUAAUCAAAAAGCUGUUCUUGUUUAAAGGCAACAUGAAGUGAACUCAAAGAAAGUUGUGCAAAGAACGCAUCCAGAGGGCUUUACUGAGAACAUUCACUGCACCGACAUUGUUUACUAAAGGAAGCUGACUGUAGCAGUUGCUGGUGAGGAAGAGGAUACUUUCCUCAGCUUAAUUCCCAGAAUACAGAGUGUGAGUGUGUGGGAGAAAUCCAAGUGAACUUGACGAACACAUGGCAUUCACACUGUGAGGACAACAGAUGGGACGUGUCAGCAAUAAACUGCCUAAGUUUGGUGAGGCUAUUUCCUAAGAGGAGCAGUGUGGCACAGUGGGAAGAAUAGUAAAUUCAAAGGGUUUAAUUUUGGUUUUGGCUUAUGGUGCUUUGAAAUUGUCACACCAGAAGCCGAAUGUGUCAGGAAAACCGCUCAUUCCCAAGCAAUGUUAUGAAUUACAUGGCUGUGAACCAAACAAUUGCUCUGGUUUAGAGUCUGGUAAGUGGACGUUGAACCCG